CAGCCGCCGCGGUAACACAGAGGGUGCGAGCGUUAAUCGGAUUUACUGGGCGUAAAGCGUGCGUAGGCGGCUAAUUGAGUCGGAUGUGAAAUCCCCGAGCUUAACUUGGGAAUUGCAUUCGAUACUGGUUAGCUAGAGUGUGGGAGAGGAUGGUAGAAUUCCAGGUGUAGCGGUGAAAUGCGUAGAGAUCUGGAGGAAUACCGAUGGCGAAGACAGCCAUCUGGCCUAACACUGACGCUGAGGUACGAAAGCAUGGGGAGCAAACAGGAUUAGAUACCCCAGUAGUCCCUGUCUCUUAUCA
RNAcentral lists this ribosomal RNA (301 nucleotides) under uncultured bacterium. RNAcentral describes it as "partial 16S ribosomal RNA". It matches the Rfam family "Bacterial small subunit ribosomal RNA", at positions 509 to 809 of the family's 1533-position model. The record is from RNAcentral.